CACGUAGGGCGCAAGCGUUGUCCGGAAUUAUUGGGCGUAAAGAGCUCGUAGGCGGUCUGUUGCGUCCGCUGUGAAAACUCGGGGCUUAACCCCGAGCCUGCAGUGGAUACGGGCAGACUAGAGGUAGGUAGGGGAGAAUGGAAUUCCCGGUGUAGCGGUGAAAUGCGCAGAUAUCGGGAGGAACACCGGUGGCGAAGGCGGCCCCCUGGGCCGUACCUGACGCUGAGGCGCGAAGGCUAGGGGAGCGAACGGG
RNAcentral lists this ribosomal RNA (253 nucleotides) under uncultured bacterium. RNAcentral's name for it is "partial 16S ribosomal RNA". It matches the Rfam family "Bacterial small subunit ribosomal RNA", at positions 524 to 776 of the family's 1533-position model. The record is from RNAcentral.